This 297-nucleotide ribosomal RNA is filed under the name Alangularis multilobata. Its description in RNAcentral is "partial 16S ribosomal RNA". The stretch from base 171 to 297 matches the Rfam family "Bacterial large subunit ribosomal RNA", at positions 2473 to 2600 of the family's 2925-position model. The record is from RNAcentral. Lineage: Eukaryota; Metazoa; Arthropoda; Insecta; Mantodea; Mantidae.
AUAGAGUUUAAUAUAUGUAGUAAUUAAUUAAGUUAAAAUUUAAUUUUUGGUUAUUAUGAAAUUUAUUUAAUUGGGGUGAUUAAGAAAUAUAGAAAACUUUUUUAAAAUUUAAAUGAUAUAUUUAGCUAUAUGAUCCAUAAUUAAUGAUUAUAAGAUUAAAUUACCUUAGGGAUAACAGCAUAAUUCUUUUUGAGAGUUCAUAUCUAAAAGAGAGAUUGUGACCUCGAUGUUGGAUUAAGAUUAGUUUUAGGUGCAGAUGUUUAAUAACUAGGUCUGUUCGACCUUAAAAAUCUUACA